Molecule: RNA transcript, 5252 nt
Organism: Zingiber officinale
Lineage: Eukaryota; Viridiplantae; Streptophyta; Magnoliopsida; Zingiberales; Zingiberaceae
Gene name: F-box protein At1g10780-like
Exons: 3
Source: RefSeq, a predicted model, not a curated record
AAAAACAUCAAAUUAAAGGAAAGGCAGGUUACCUCUUCGAUGUCCCUGGAAACGAUGACGAGAAAAAAGUCGCCGUUUUCCCGGCGAGAGGGCGACGAUGGAGUCGCUUCCAGGCGACAUGCUGCGCCGGAUCCUCUCCAGGCUGAGCGACGCCAGAGACGUCGCCGCUUGCUCCCCCGUCUCCCGGCGCUGGCGAGAGGCCACCGCCUUCAUCCCUUCCAUCCACUUCCUCAGCAAGGCUUUGCAAGGAGGCGGAACCCCUGCCGACGCCGACAUCUUACGCAUGGUUUCCGCUACCGCCUCCUCCCUUGAGGACCUCUCCAUCCACUGCCCCUUUUCCGGUCGCAGCCUCGCCCCCUGCCUCGCCCUCUGCGGCCGAUCCCUCCGCUCCCUCGAUCUCCGCGUGGACUUCUUCGACGGCGGGCUCGACUGCGUCAACCUCUACGAAGGUUUAGAGUCUCUCAAGCUCUGGCACCCUCCCUGAUUUCUUCUCCCAAUUGGGGUUUGCCCGCCCACAGGAGAUUGCGCAGCUUGGGGAUGGUCGGCGGCAUUGUUCUCAGCGAACACUUGGCCGACGUGAUUCGUGCUUGCCCCCAUCUCACUGACUUGAUCCUGAUUAGAUGCUGUUCGGAAGGCGCGAUCUCGAUUGAACUGGAGCGAUUGGAGAGAUGCAAGUUGGAUCUCUAUUUUACAGUGCAUUGUUCCCUAAGUCUGAACUCGCCGAGGCUUCAAGACCUUGAUAUCCAAGGAUUUUAGCAGAUUCGAGUCGGCCAUAAUCACCGGUUAAAGAGGCUUUCCAUGCAAACAGUGAAGGUAAUGUGACGAUGGUGGAUGUGGGGAAGCUACCGGAGCUGGAGUAUUUGUCGAUUGAAGGUCAACACUGGUAUUGGAGUGAGAUAAAGACUCUUCUGCGAAAUGCAAUUGAGGUGGAAGAAUUCUUCAGUAACCACAGUUGGAGUUAAAGUUCAUGAUUUCUUCCUCUCUCGAGGAGCUGAUCGUUGCAGUGAGCUUGUUGCUGCAUUUGAAGGAGAAGGCAAACACACUGAAGCAUCGCGUGAAGCUGCGGAGGAUAUUGAUCAGUGGCGCACUAAACAUAAUUUAACCGACAAAAAUAAAGAAAGUUAGGGGAAGUUGAAGGAAGCAACGUCUUACUCAGUCGUCUAAGUUGAUCAGAUUGUGACUUAGCCUGACCCGAUAGAGAAAGACUAUAUUCUCCACCAAUAGUCUGACAUUGAACUUCAAUCCCACUAGGAUCUCGAUUGUAUCCAAAUACGUCCACUCCUCGAAAUGGCCCAACGACAGCUAUGUUGGUAAGUCGUCGCGCCAGAAGGUCGAUCAGGUAUAUGAAUGAAGGGGUUGACAAAAAUGAAGUAUCUCUUCCACCCCUUGUGUGAAGGACACUCUCCAAGAAAACUACACCUUGAUCGAGCUACGAAGUAAAAACAUCGGGGCUUUGUCUCUCAGGGAUAAAAAAAGAUAGUGGAAGAUGGUGGAGUUGAGUGGAAUUUGAUAUGAUCAAAAAAAGAUGUCUAUAGUAUAGAUCCAAUGGUAAAAGUUGGGGGUAAGCUAAGGGAGAGAGAUUCGGAAGUUGUGUUAAGCUCUUAAACGUAGGGGUGGAUCGGAAACCUUAAACCACUUGCUAGUUGACCUUGGCAACAAGUGAUAUACUCUUGAGGCGGUUCAUAUGAUCGAUUUUUUGACAUUGAAAUCCUGAUCUUAUGAUCGAUUAGGAUACAACAAGAUAUUCAAAGUUGCGCUUCUACAUCCCUUGUGAAUAAAAUUUGAUGAGACUCAUACCAACGGUUCAACGGGUUGCUGGUAGCCAUGAGAGCAAAAGGAAAGGCACAAAUGAAGAAAAUGAAAUGGUAAACUUAUUGCACUGAUAGAUGAGAAGUGGAGAAGACGAAGGCAAGAAGUAGCGAGAGCGAAUGGAGGCGACAUGACUUUCAAAUAACAUAAUAUACUUUAGCAAUACCACAGAGGAUUGUCGCAUUAGCCUUUCGAAUCGUUGGACGAUGAAGAGGGCGUCACAAGAUCCUAUCACAGCUGCAGCUCACUCCACCAUUAAAGCACAACAAUGAUAGGUUACAAAGGGAUCCAUCGACCUCUGAGACAGUUCAAAUGCAACCGUCAGAUGUUGAGAUUAGAUAGGCGCCAACGUGCCAUUGCCACAAAUCCGAGGUUGUGUGAACUCCGACAUUGUCAUACGUCUUUGUAGUUAAUGUAGUGGUCUCGUUGGUAUGCAAACAUCUCAGCUCAACAUUCUGGACAGAUCAACGUCGGUGGGUGAAACGACAACUCAACAUAAUCCAAUCAGUCAGAUUGUGCCUCCUUCAACUAGAUUUGAAGGAGAGACUUGUGAUAUAACAGUUUUCUACAGUCCCCACAUAUCCCGUGUGGUCAAAAGUCAUGCUAAUCAGUUAGUUAAGAUCAAGAUAGGUCAAAUAUGAUCCAAAGAGAAUUAGACUCUGUUCAAAUGAGACUCAAGUUUGAUUGAACCAACUUAGUAAGUAGAGCCGUCAAUUUUGGUUGUGUCCGUUGACCCCGUCGAAUAAUUUAAAUAGGUUGGAUUGAAAAUUUAUCAACCCAUCAUCUGGCGGGCCUAAAUGGGUUAGCCCGCGCAGGUCGCGGGUCCGAGCGGGCCAACCCACGGUAGGCUCGGGUUGGCCCACGAGCCUAACAAAAAUAUCAAUAAAUAUUUCUAAAUAUAUUAUGACUGAUAAAUAUUAAUUAACGGUGAGAACUCAACUGCCAAAUUAAUACAUUCUCUUUCUAACUCUCUUCUCUUAUUAUUAAUCUACUGUAGCGAUAAUUAUAAAACAUAAAUAGUACUUAAACUUAAAACCCUAUUUCUAUUUUCACAAUUUCACUUGACGCUUCGCCUUCGUUCGUCGCGACACCGACAUCGCCUUCGUUCGUCGUGACACCGACUGAUCGACACCAUCUUUCGCCUACCUCUCACUCCCAGAGUCAUAGCCUCACACACACCUGUGGGCUUGCGACCUGCCUCAUCAGCAGUCGUCGGCCAGUGUCUCCUUGUGGCCGUGAAGCAGAACGAAAUUCCGCCUCACGCAUGCCUACCUUAGUGUCUCCCCAAGUCCCCAAGUCCUCGACUCCUCGUAGCCGCGUGAAACCUGCAAAGACACAGAGUGCAAACAAACUAAAAGAUGGCAGUCCAACUCCAAUAGACGACAAGCUUGAAUCCACUAAUUCAGCAAUCGCUAAUCUCCCAACUUGAAUCCCACAAGUUCGGUAGCCGCCAAGUUUUGUUUGAGGUAAGAUUUUUUGCUUCCUUUCCUAAUUUCAUUCUAUUUCCCACUAGUUUCGUACUUUCGUAGUCCCUACUCGGCUACUCCCUAAUGUUUAGCAUUUGUUAUGCAUAUACCAGGUUACUAGUUUUCUCUUUUGAUACUCAACAUAUCUUGUGUCAUUGUGUGUUUUGACUUUGGAUUGAUUUGUUCUGCAAUCAACAGGGCUAACAUAAAAAAUAAAUUUAGGUUAUUUUCUAUUAACAUUUAGAGUUCUUGUUUGAUUGAUUUUAUCAUAAAUUAAAUUAAUUUAUUGUAUUUCAGAUUGAUUUUGAAAUGGACUCUAGUUCUCAAAAGUAAAUUAUUAUUUUAGAUGAUGAAUUGGAAAGUGCUAAGCAUGAUGACAAUGAGUCAAUUAAAAGGUCUAAAGAAACUUAUGAUAUUUGGGUGUAUUUUAAGAAAAUCAAAGGAAUUGAUAAUAUAGAUAAAGCUGAAUGUAUUCGAUGUAAAAAAUAGUAUAAGUGUGGGGGUAAACAAUAUGGAACUUCUACGUUGUGGCGUCAUCUUAAAAUUUGCGACAUUAAAGUUUCAUGAUGUACGGCAAAUGGUUCUUGAUCAAGAUGGAAAGACAGUCUAAGAAAAUAAAUCAAAAGUUUUCAUGUGAGCGACUGGCUUGUGCAAUCAUCAUACAUGAUUUAUCAUUUUUCUUUGUUGAGUAUGAUAGUAUUAGAGCUUAGAUGAAAUACAUAAAUCCUGAUGUUGCUUGCAUUUCUAGAAAUACUCUUGUUUCCGAUAUUAACCAAAUCUACUUGAAGGAAAAAGAGAAGCUUAAGUGUAUUUUGACUACGGUUCAGAAUAGAGUUUGUUUAACUUUAGAUUUGUGGACGACGUGCACUAGUGAGGAUUAUAUUUGCUUGACUGCCCAUUUUGUUGAUAAUGACUGGAAAUUAAAUAGUAAAAUACUUAGUUUGUCUCAUAUGCCCCCUCCACACUCAGGAGUUAAAUUAGCUGCAAAAUUAUUUGAAUAUUUGAAGGAAUGGGGGAUUGACAAAAAGGUUUUCUCUUUGACAUUGGAUACUGCAUCUAGUAAUGAUAACAUGCAAGUUCAUUUGAAAGAGCAACUUCUUUGCAUGAUAGUUUAUUUUGUGACAGUGAAUUUUUGCAUGUUCGUUGUUCUGCUCAUAUAUUGAAUCUCAUUGUCCAAGAAGGUUUGAAAGUGGCGGCAGUUACUGUGAAUAAAAUUAGAGAGUCGGUUAAGUAUGUUAAAGGUUCAAAGGCUAGGAUGAAAAAGUUUGGAGAAUGUGUAUAAGCAGUUAGUAACAUUGAUACUAGUAUUGGCUUACGAUUAGAUGUGUCUACUCGUUGGAACUCAACAUAUUUCAUGUUGGAUAGUGCCAUCAAAUAUAAAAAAGUUUUUGCUUCUCUUCAAUUCAAUGAUAAGAAUUAUAAAUAUCGUCCUUCAAGUGAAGAGUGGAAAAGAGGAGAGAAAAUAUGUGAGUUCCUUGAGCCAUUUUAUGACACUGCUAGUUUGAUCUCUGGUUCUUCUUAUCCUACAUCAAAUUUGUAUUUUAUGCAAGUUUGGAAGAUUGAAGUUUUGUUAAAGGAAAACUUAUCAAAUGAAGAUGAGGUGAUAAGUUAUAUAUGUAAAAGAAUGAUGGAGAAGUUUGACAAGUAUUUGACUCAAUAUAGCAUGGUGCUUGCAUUUAGAGCUAUUCUUGACCCACGAAUAAAGCUUUCAAUGUUGGAGUUUUUUUAUUCAAAGGUUGAAAGUGAUUCUCUUAAAUGCAAAAAGAAGAUGGAUCUUAUGAAGACAAAAUUGUAUAAGCUUUUUGACCAGUAUUCUGAUACUAACUAGACAAGUUCUUCACAACCACAAUCUUCUACCACACAUACACUUUCGCAAAGUGUUGUAGUUAAAUGAAAGAACAAAAGAAUCUUUGAUGUAAGUACUCUAAUAUUUUUUUCUUGUAUUCUCGAUUUUUUUUGUCACUACUAUUCCAAUUA